ACUCCUACGGGAGGCAGCAGUGGGGAAUAUUGGACAAUGGGGGCAACCCUGAUCCAGCCAUGCCGCGUGUGUGAAGAAGGCCUUCGGGCUGUAAAGCACUUUCAGUGGGGAGAAAGGUGAUUCACCUAAUACGUGAGUCAAUUGAUGCUACCCACAGAAGAAGCACCGGCUAACUCCGUGCCAGCAGCCGCGGUAAU
RNAcentral lists this ribosomal RNA (197 nucleotides) under uncultured type I methanotroph. RNAcentral describes it as "partial 16S ribosomal RNA". It matches the Rfam family "Bacterial small subunit ribosomal RNA", at positions 335 to 524 of the family's 1533-position model. Lineage: Bacteria; Pseudomonadati; Pseudomonadota; Gammaproteobacteria; Methylococcales; Methylococcaceae. The record is from RNAcentral.